This 272-nucleotide unclassified non-coding RNA is filed under the name Glomus sp. RNAcentral describes it as "partial contains 5.8S ribosomal RNA and internal transcribed spacer 2". The stretch from base 1 to 71 matches the Rfam family "5.8S ribosomal RNA", at positions 84 to 154 of the family's 154-position model. Lineage: Eukaryota; Fungi; Glomeromycota; Glomeromycetes; Glomerales; Glomeraceae. The record is from RNAcentral.
GUGAAUCAUCGAAUUUUUGAACGCAACUUGCACUUUUUGGUAUUCCGGGAAGUAUGCCUGUUUGAGGGUCAGUUAAAUAACAAUCGGUGUUGUUGCUGCCUUUAGUGGUGACGCGUCGGGAUUUGGUCGUCUUUCCUUCGGUUCAGUGGCUUCACAUUUUUGCUUGAUUUUCGCACGUUUUUAAAUCUCUUACGUCUGUUUGAGAUAUCGAAUGCUUAUUAGGUUCGGUCAUUCCCAUGAUUCGGGCAUAUAAUUAUUCAUUAAUUGACCUA